CCUACGGGAGGCAGCAGUAGGGAAUCUUCCACAAUGGGCGAAAGCCUGAUGGAGCAACGCCGCGUGGGUGAAGAAGGUCUUCGGAUCGUAAAACCCUGUUGUUAGAGAAGAAAGUUCGUGAGAGUAACUGUUCACGUUUCGACGGUAUCUAACCAGAAAGCCACGGCUAACUACGUGCCAGCAGCCGCGGUAAUACGUAGGUGGCAAGCGUUAUCCGGAUUUAUUGGGCGUAAAGGGAACGCAGGCGGUCUUUUAAGUCUGAUGUGAAAGCCUUCGGCUUAACCGGAGUAGUGCAUUGGAAACUGGGAGACUUGAGUGCAGAAGAGGAGAGUGGAACUCCAUGUGUAGCGGUGAAAUGCGUAGAUAUAUGGAAGAACACCAGUGGCGAAGGCGGCUCUCUGGGCUGUAACUGACGCUGAGGUUCGAAAGCGUGGGUAGCAAACAGGAUUAGAUACCCCGGUAGUC
RNAcentral lists this ribosomal RNA (465 nucleotides) under uncultured bacterium. RNAcentral's name for it is "partial 16S ribosomal RNA". It matches the Rfam family "Bacterial small subunit ribosomal RNA", at positions 338 to 795 of the family's 1533-position model. The record is from RNAcentral.